This 484-nucleotide ribosomal RNA is filed under the name uncultured bacterium. Its description in RNAcentral is "partial 16S ribosomal RNA". It matches the Rfam family "Bacterial small subunit ribosomal RNA", at positions 30 to 507 of the family's 1533-position model. The record is from RNAcentral.
AUUGAACGCUGGCGGCAGGCCUAACACAUGCAAGUCGAGCGGAUGAAGGGAGCUUGCUCCUGGAUUCAGCGGCGGACGGGUGAGUAAUGCCUAGGAAUCUGCCUGGUAGUGGGGGAUAACGUCCGGAAACGGGCGCUAAUACCGCAUACGUCCUGAGGGAGAAAGUGGGGGAUCUUCGGACCUCACGCUAUCAGAUGAGCCUAGGUCGGAUUAGCUAGUUGGUGGGGUAAAGGCCUACCAAGGCGACGAUCCGUAACUGGUCUGAGAGGAUGAUCAGUCACACUGGAACUGAGACACGGUCCAGACUCCUACGGGAGGCAGCAGUGGGGAAUAUUGGACAAUGGGCGAAAGCCUGAUCCAGCCAUGCCGCGUGUGUGAAGAAGGUCUUCGGAUUGUAAAGCACUUUAAGUUGGGAGGAAGGGCAGUAAGUUAAUACCUUGCUGUUUUGACGAUACCAACAGAAUAAGCACCGGCUAACUUCGUG